Molecule: ribosomal RNA, 332 nt
Filed under: uncultured bacterium
Lineage: Bacteria
Description: bacterial SSU rRNA
Rfam family: Bacterial small subunit ribosomal RNA
Source: RNAcentral
GAGUUUGAUCGUGGCUCAGGAUGAACGCUGGCGGCGUGCCUAACACAUGCAAGUCGAACGGAGUUAAACGCUGAAUUGAUGGUAGCUUGCUAUUGGAUUUUCUUGUUUAACUUAGUGGCGGACGGGUGAGUAACACGUGAGCAACCUGCCUUUCAGAGGGGGAUAACGGCUGGAAACGGUCGCUAAUACCGCAUGAUAUAUUCGAGUGGCAUCGCUUGAAUAUCAAAGGAGCAAUCCGCUGAAAGAUGGGCUCGCGUCUGAUUAGAUAGUUGGUGGGGUAACGGCCUACCAAGUCGACGAUCAGUAGCCGGACUGAGAGGUUGAACGGCCAC